AGGACGAACGCUGGCGGCGUGCUUAACACAUGCAAGUCGAACGGAAAGGCCCUUUCGGGGGUACUCGAGUGGCGAACGGGUGAGUAACACGUGGGUGAUCUGCCCUGCACUUCGGGAUAAGCUUGGGAAACUGGGUCUAAUACCGGAUAGGACUACGGACUGCAUGGUCUGCGGUGGAAAGCUUUUGCGGUGUGGGAUGGGCCCGCGGCCUAUCAGCUUGUUGGUGGGGUGAUGGCCUACCAAGGCGACGACGGGUA
This 257-nucleotide ribosomal RNA is filed under the name uncultured bacterium. Its description in RNAcentral is "partial small subunit ribosomal RNA". It matches the Rfam family "Bacterial small subunit ribosomal RNA", at positions 26 to 285 of the family's 1533-position model. The record is from RNAcentral.